RNAcentral lists this ribosomal RNA (301 nucleotides) under uncultured bacterium. RNAcentral's name for it is "partial 16S ribosomal RNA". It matches the Rfam family "Bacterial small subunit ribosomal RNA", at positions 509 to 809 of the family's 1533-position model. The record is from RNAcentral.
CAGUCGCCACGGGAAUACGGAGGGGGCUAGCGUUGUUCGGAAUUACUGGGCGUAAAGCGCACGUAGGCGGCUUGGUAAGUUAGAGGUGAAAGCCCGGAGCUCAACUCCGGAAUUGCCUUUAAGACUGCCGAGCUAGCAGGUGAGAGAGGUAAGUGGAAUUCCGAGUGUAGAGGUGAAAUUCGUAGAUAUUCGGAAGAACACCAGUGGCGAAGGCGGCUUACUGGCUCAUACUGGACGCUGAGGUGCGAAAGCGUGGGGAGCAAACAGGAUUAGAUACCCCCGUAGUCCCUGUCUCUUAUAA